UACAGAGGUCCCGAGCGUUGUUCGGAUUCAUUGGGCGUAAAGGGUGCGUAGGCGGCUUCCUAAGUUUGAUGUGAAAUCCUGGGGCUCAACCCUGGAACUGCAUUGAAUACUGGGAGGCUAGAGUACUGGAGAGGAACUGGAAUUUACGGUGUAGCAGUGAAAUGCGUAGAGAUCGUAAGGAAGACCAGUGGCGAAGGCGAGUUUCUGGACAGUUACUGACGUGAGGCACGAAGGCCAGGGGAGCAAACGGG
RNAcentral lists this ribosomal RNA (251 nucleotides) under uncultured bacterium. RNAcentral's name for it is "partial 16S ribosomal RNA". It matches the Rfam family "Bacterial small subunit ribosomal RNA", at positions 524 to 776 of the family's 1533-position model. The record is from RNAcentral.